CCUACGGGGGGCAGCAGUCGAGAAUCAUUCACAAUGGGGGAAACCCUGAUGGUGCGACGCCGCGUGGGGGAAUGAAGGUCUUCGGAUUGUAAACCCCUGUCAUGUGGGAGCAAAUUAAAAAGAUAGUACCACAAGAGGAAGAGACGGCUAACUCUGUGCCAGCAGCCGCGGUAAUACAGAGGUCUCAAGCGUUGUUCGGAAUCACUGGGCGUAAGGCGUGCGUAGGCUGUUUCGUAAGUCGUGUGUGAAAGGCGCGGGCUCAACCCGCGGACGGCACAUGAUACUGCGAGACUAGAGUAAUGGAGGGGGAACCGGAAUUCUCGGUGUAGGAGUGAAAUGCGUAGAUAUCGAGAGGAACACUCGUGGCGAAGGCGGGUUCCUGGACAUUAACUGACGCUGAGGCACGAAGGCCAGGGGAGCGAAAGGGAUUAGAUACCCGUGUAGUC
RNAcentral lists this ribosomal RNA (446 nucleotides) under uncultured bacterium. Its description in RNAcentral is "partial 16S ribosomal RNA". It matches the Rfam family "Bacterial small subunit ribosomal RNA", at positions 338 to 795 of the family's 1533-position model. The record is from RNAcentral.